GACGAACGCUGGCGGCGUGCUUAACACAUGCAAGUCGAACGGACAGGCCCUGCUUUUGCGGGGUGCUCGAUUGCGGAACGGGUGAGUAACACGUGUGUAACCUGCCCUUGUCUGAGUGGUAACAUUAGGAAACUGGGGCUAAUACCGGAUAGGAUCUCCUGAAGCGUGGGGGGCGUUGGAAAGUUUCGGCGGUUGGGGCUGGUCUCGCGGCUUAUCAGCUUGUUGGGGGGGUAGUGGCUGACCAAGGCUUCGACGGGUAGCCGGCCUGGGAGGGGGACCGGCCACAUUGGGACUGAGAUACGGCCCAGACUCGAACCGGAGGCAACAGGGGAGAAUAUUACAGAAUAGGCGGGAGCCAGAUGUGACAACGCCGCGUGCGGGAUGACGGGUUUCGGGUUGUGAACCGCUUUCGCCUGAGACGAGGCGUUAGUGACGGUAAUGGGUAAAGAAGCACCGGCUAACUACGUG
This 468-nucleotide ribosomal RNA is filed under the name uncultured bacterium. RNAcentral's name for it is "partial 16S ribosomal RNA". It matches the Rfam family "Bacterial small subunit ribosomal RNA", at positions 28 to 507 of the family's 1533-position model. The record is from RNAcentral.